UGUAGUUGUAAACUUUUUUAUCUUGGUUUAGGCUAUCUCGGUAUGUGCUAACUUGUGGGGGUAUGAACAAGUGGUCUUUUUGUGUUUUUGGUGUAAAUGAUUUUUCAAAUAUUUUAUUCAUAUUCAUAUUCUGGUAUCUUGGUCGAUUAACUCCUUUGCUUGUACCUGCAGAAGUAGAUUGAUAAAUGUUAUGGGUUUUAUGGAGUGUCCCAACGUCUCCUUCU
This 224-nucleotide long non-coding RNA is filed under the name Capsicum annuum. Its description in RNAcentral is "long non-coding RNA (CANN_LNC021389)". Lineage: Eukaryota; Viridiplantae; Streptophyta; Magnoliopsida; Solanales; Solanaceae. The record is from RNAcentral.